CAGAGGUCUCAAGCGUUGUUCGGAUUCAUUGGGCGUAAAGGGUGCGUAGGUGGCGCUGUAAGUCGGGUGUGAAAUUUCGGAGCUUAACUCCGAAACUGCAUUCGAUACUGCGGUGCUUGAGGACUGGAGAGGAGACUGGAAUUCAUGGUGUAGCAGUGAAAUGCGUAGAGAUCAUGAGGAAGACCAGUGGCGAAGGCGGGUCUCUGGACAGUUCCUGACGCUGAGGCACGAAGGCCAGGGGAGCAAACGGGAUUAGAUACCCCGGUAGUCCUGGCAGUAAACGGUGCACGUUUGGUGUGGGAGGAUUCGACCCCUUCCGCGCCGGAGCUAACGCGUUAAACGUGCCGCCUGGGGAGUACGGUCGCAAGAUUA
This 372-nucleotide ribosomal RNA is filed under the name uncultured organism. RNAcentral's name for it is "bacterial SSU rRNA". It matches the Rfam family "Bacterial small subunit ribosomal RNA", at positions 526 to 896 of the family's 1533-position model. The record is from RNAcentral.